GACGAACGCUGGCGGCGUGCUUAACACAUGCAAGUCGAACGGAAAGGCCCUGCUUUUGUGGGGUGCUCGAGUUGCGAACGGGUGAGUAACACGUGAGUAACCUGCCCUUGACUUUGGGAUAACUUCAUGAAACUUGGGCUAAUACCGGAUAGGAGCUCCUGCUGCUUGGUGGGGGUUGGAAAGUUUCGGCGGUUGGGGAUGGACUCGCGGCUUAUCAGCUUGUUGGUGGGGUAGUGGCUUACCAAGGCUUUGACGGGUAGCCGGCCUGAGAGGGUGACCGACCACACAGGGACUGAGAUACGGCCGAGACUCAUACGGGAGGCAGCAGUGGGGAAUAUUGCACAAUGGGCGGAAGACUGAUGCAGCAACGACGCGUGCGGGAUGAAGGCAUUCGGGUUGUAAACCGCGUUCGCCUGUGACGAAGCGUGAGUGACGGUAAUGGGUAAAGAAGCACCGGCUAACUACGUG
This 468-nucleotide ribosomal RNA is filed under the name uncultured bacterium. Its description in RNAcentral is "partial 16S ribosomal RNA". It matches the Rfam family "Bacterial small subunit ribosomal RNA", at positions 28 to 507 of the family's 1533-position model. The record is from RNAcentral.